This 68-nucleotide transfer RNA is filed under the name Anostirus castaneus. RNAcentral's name for it is "tRNA-Ser". The record is from RNAcentral. Lineage: Eukaryota; Metazoa; Arthropoda; Insecta; Coleoptera; Elateridae.
GAAAUAUAAUAAUUCAAGAUGAAGCUUCUAACUUUUAUCUUUAGCGGUGUAAAUCCGUUAAUAUUUCU